CCUACGGGUGGCAGCAGUGGGGAAUAUUGCGCAAUGGGCGAAAGCCUGACGCAGCGACGCCGCGUGAGGGCUGAAGGUCUUCGGAUCGUAAACCUCUGUCAGCAGGGAAGAACGGUCACUGUGCUAAUCAGCAGUGAAUUGACGGUACCUGCAAAGGAAGCACCGGCUAACUCCGUGCCAGCAGCCGCGGUAAUACGGAGGGUGCGAGCGUUAAUCGGAAUUACUGGGCGUAAAGCGCUCGUAGGCGGUAUGACAAGUCAAGGGUGAAAUCCCCGGGCUCAACGUGGGAACUGCCUUUGAAACUGGCAAACUGGAGUGUGUGAGAGGAUAGUGGAAUUCCAGGUGUAGGGGUGAAAGCCGUAGAUAUCAGGAGGAACAUCAGUGGCGAAGGCGACUAUCUGGCACAUAACUGACGCUGAGGAGCGAAAGCGUGGGUAGCAAACAGGAUUAGAUACCCUUGUAGUC
RNAcentral lists this ribosomal RNA (465 nucleotides) under uncultured bacterium. RNAcentral describes it as "partial 16S ribosomal RNA". It matches the Rfam family "Bacterial small subunit ribosomal RNA", at positions 338 to 795 of the family's 1533-position model. The record is from RNAcentral.